Molecule: long non-coding RNA, 411 nt
Filed under: Marmota monax (woodchuck)
Lineage: Eukaryota; Metazoa; Chordata; Mammalia; Rodentia; Sciuridae
Source: RNAcentral
GAGACCUUGCACAAUCAGGCAGGUUUAAAAAAAUAGCAGAAUCGACCUCCUGAAAAUGAGAAACAAAACACUGGAAAUAAUAUUCAGUGGAUACACUACACAUUAGAUUAGAUGCAGGUGAAGAGAGAAUUGGUCAAUUGGAAGACAGAUAUCCAAAUUUAUCCAGAAUGGAGUUCUGAGAGAUAAAAAGGUAUAAAUUCUAAAACAGAAGUUAAAAGAUACAGAAGAUAAAAUGAUUUGAGACUACUACAUAUCUAACUUAGACUUCUGUCUGUAGAGAGAAUAGGGGAGUGCAAUUAUUUAGAGUUAAAUGCCCAUAAUUUCCCAGAAUUACUAAAAAAAAAAAAAUCUAAAGUCUAAGAAGCCUAAGACUUGAGAGACAGAGAGGGAGAGAAAGAGAAAGGAUACUAG